GGGGAAUUUUCCGCAAUGGGCGAAAGCCUGACGGAGCAAUACCGCGUGAGGGAGGAAGGCUCUUGGGUUGUAAACCUCUUUUCUCAGGGAAUAAGAANCUGAAGGUACCUGAGGAAUCAGCAUCGGCUAACUCCGUGCCAGCAGCCGCGGUAAUACGGAGGAUGCAAGCGUUAUCCGGAAUGAUUGGGCGUAAAGCGUCCGCAGGUGGUUUAUCAAGUCUGCUGUCAAAGAGUUUGGCUCAACCAAAUAAAGGCAGUGGAAACUGACAGACUGGAGUGCGGUAAGGGCAGAGGGAAUUCCUGGUGUAGCGGUGAAAUGCGUAGAGAUCAGGAAGAACACCGGUGGCGAAAGCGCUCUGCUGGGCCGUAACUGACACUGAGGGACGAAAGCUAGGGGAGCGAAUGGGAUUAGAUACCCCAGUAGUC
Molecule: ribosomal RNA, 425 nt
Filed under: uncultured cyanobacterium
Lineage: Bacteria; Bacillati; Cyanobacteriota
Description: bacterial SSU rRNA
Rfam family: Bacterial small subunit ribosomal RNA
Source: RNAcentral